GCUAAUACCGCAUAACGUCGCAAGACCAAAGAGGGGGACCUUCGGGCCUCUUGCCAUCGGAUGUGCCCAGAUGGGAUUAGCUAGUAGGUGGGGUAACGGCUCACCUAGGCGACGAUCCCUAGCUGGUCUGAGAGGAUGACCAGCCACACUGGAACUGAGACACGGUCCAGACUCCUACGGGAGGCAGCAGUGGGGAAUAUUGCACAAUGGGCGCAAGCCUGAUGCAGCCAUGCCGCGUGUAUGAAGAAGGCCUUCGGGUUGUAAAGUACUUUCAGCGGGGAGGAAGGGAGUAAAGUUAAUACCUUUGCUCAUUGACGUUACCCGCAGAAGAAGCACCGGCUAACUCCGUGCCAGCAGCCGCGGUAAUACGGAGGGUGCAAGCGUUAAUCGGAAUUACUGGGCGUAAAGCGCACGCAGGCGGUUUGUUAAGUCAGAUGUGAAAUCCCCGGGCUCAACCUGGGAACUGCAUCUGAUACUGGCAAGCUUGAGUCUCGUAGAGGGGGGUAGAAUUCCAGGUGUAGCGGUGAAAUGCGUAGAGAUCUGGAGGAAUACCGGUGGCGAAGGCGGCCCCCUGGACGAAGACUGACGCUCAGGUGCGAAAGCGUGGGGAGCAAACAGGAUCAGAUACCCUGGUAGUCCACGCCGUAAACGAUGUCGACUUGGAGGUUGUGCCCUUGAGGCGUGGCUUCCGGAGCUAACGCGUUAAGUCGACCGCCUGGGGAGUACGGCCGCAAGGUUAAAACUCAAAUGAAUUGACGGGGGCCCGCACAAGCGGUGGAGCAUGUGGUUUAAUUCGAUGCAACGCGAAGAACCUUACCUGGUCUUGACAUCCACAGAACUUUCCAGAGAUGGAUUGGUGCCUUCGGGAACUGUGAGACAGGUGCUGCAUGGCUGUCGUCAGCUCGUGUUGUGAAAUGUUGGGUUAAGUCCCGCAACGAGCGCAACCCUUAUCUUUUGUUGCCAGCGGUCCGGCCGGGAACUCAAAGGAGACUGCCAGUGAUAAACUGGAGGAAGGUGGGGAUGACGUCAAGUCAUCAUGGCCCUUACGACCAGGGCUACACACGUGCUACAAUGGCGCAUACAAAGAGAAGCGACCUCGCGAGAGCAAGCGGACCUCAUAAAGUGCGUCGUAGUCCGGAUUGGAGUCUGCAACUCGACUCCAUGAAGUCGGAAUCGCUAGUAAUCGUGGAUCAGAAUGCCACGGUGAAUACGUUCCCGGGCCUUGUACACACCGCCCGUCACACCAUGGGAGUGGGUUGCAAAAGAAGUAGGUAGCUUAACCUUCGGGAGGGCGCUUACCACUUUGUGAUUCACGACUGGGGUGAAGUCGUAACAAGGUA
RNAcentral lists this ribosomal RNA (1340 nucleotides) under metagenome. RNAcentral describes it as "bacterial SSU rRNA". It matches the Rfam family "Bacterial small subunit ribosomal RNA", at positions 162 to 1498 of the family's 1533-position model. The record is from RNAcentral.